ACCAAGGAAGAGGCAAGGACCCUUCUGCAUAUAAAAUGGUUGUUACCAGAGAACAUUAAACAUCGAUCAUGAUGAUACAUAUGUUUAAAACCAGAACAAAUUAACUAAUUUGUUGUAGAGAACCAAAAGGAAAGAAAGUGUGAGAACAGAGAAAAUAUACUAAGAAUUUAAAGGCAGCCACACAGAACUGUAACCAAUCCAACUAUAUGAUGGUAUACACAUACAGUUGGAACAAAAUGCAGUAAAUCUGAUCCUAGUACUUGAAUUUAUUCUUAUGCAUGUAUCAAGUAGUCUUUUAUGAGCAUCUUGAUCUAUUUAUAUUUAAUUCCUAACCAUUCAAUUUUUACAUCAGAUAUUAUCUUUCUGUUGGCAAAAGAAUUUAUAAGAACAUUAAAUCAGCAUAUAAGACAAAGCCACAAAAGCAUGUUCUAAGCAACCUAAAGGUGACACCAUAACAAGAGAGCAUCCUAAUAAACUGGUAGCCCACUUUUCAACUUAACUAAGCUUUCACCCAAGAAAUGGAAUUUGUCCAAAUCCAUUAAGCAAUAUGUCAAAAUGGAGAUUUCAAGGACACAAUAUCAGAAGUCUAUUUGGUCGUACCAAAAUGGACAACUCUGUCGAGGCCCUUACAAUUCCCUGUGCUAAGCAAAAUCAACUUCUAAAUAAUAUGGAAAAAAAUACAACUAUCUCAAGAUAAACACAAACAAUUGGUAUAACAUCUUUCUAUGGGAUUUGCAGGGUGGUCCCAAUUAAUAUAGUGGUUUUACCAAAUUAAUUUCAUAGAAAUAGUUAAAAUCUUGUUCCAAACGAAAAUCAAUUAUUAUCAAACUAAGACAGCCAUACAAAAUUUGUAUCACCACUCCACCCAGGAUGCCAUAAACAACACCCAUAUAAGGACAUUGCUUAAAAGAAAAGCCCUAACAACUAUUUUAGCAGCCAAAGCCAUUGCCUGCAUAUGGCUAAGCACAUGAUAUUGGGAAAAACACAUACAAAAAAGUACCUCUCCUUACUGAUGCAAAUGCGCUGCUGCACAUAUCAAGCACAGCAAUCUGUUUAUUCUAUAAAAUUCUCAGUAGGAAGUCUCAAGGAAGAGACACAUGGAGACACAUCAGUAAACUAAAUAUAAAGAGCAAUAAUCUUAGCUAUAAGCUAAGUUUUGUGCAUAUGACAUAUUCCCAUAAGCCUUAAUUUAAACCAAAAUAAAAAAUCUAUCAUGUCAUAAAUAUGUAUCACCUAAACAAAAUAGGAAGAGAAAAAAAUACUGCUCAAGUUCAACCAACUUCUAUGAAAUAUUCCUCAACAAAAAAUGCAAGUGUAUACACAAGGCUUUUCCAUUUUCAUUACGUGUAUAAGAAAUUUAAGACUCCUUAUUAGAGGAAGUAAGGAACCAGAAGUAUAUACUUACAGGUCAUUGUUUGCAUCAUACUAGUUAAAAAACUAAUGUUCUACAUUAUAACUUUGAAUAAGCAUAAUCCAAGAUAGGUAAGCAAAUUUGAGUGUAUAAAUUUCUCAACCACAUACUUCUGAAGAGGUGGUUCUCCAAA
This 1544-nucleotide unclassified non-coding RNA is filed under the name Hevea brasiliensis (rubber tree). The record is from RNAcentral. Lineage: Eukaryota; Viridiplantae; Streptophyta; Magnoliopsida; Malpighiales; Euphorbiaceae.